This is a long non-coding RNA of Hypomesus transpacificus, 251 nucleotides long. RefSeq lists it as uncharacterized. Lineage: Eukaryota; Metazoa; Chordata; Actinopteri; Osmeriformes; Osmeridae. The transcript is spliced from 3 exons. The record is from RefSeq and is a predicted model, not a curated record.
ACAGUCUGGCUGGACCAGGUGGAACCUCUCCUCUCCAGCACCCCUCUACUGAGCCUGCUGCCCCGGGCACGCCCCCUGAUGACCAAUACUUCCUCUACAAACACACGCCCCUGGAACACCCAGCAGGCUCAGGCUCUGUUCCAAGAAGUGAUGAACAUAAAAUCCAACCUCUCCCCACAAGCUUUCCUUGCCCUAGGUACCGUUGGCCCAGGUGCAAGCUGCAAGGUCCUGAAGAAGCUCUUCUUCUCUCA